CAUACCUCGUCCUCAGCCUGAACCUGUAGAAUUCAGAAACUGGGUCAAAGAACUGGAGGGUUUUGUUUUAAGAUACUACUGCAAUUUCCUUGGCUUUUAGUUGAAAACUCACUGCUCAGCCCUAGGCAGUGAAAGAAGAAAAGAAGCCAAGAAAGAAGAAAAACCAAUACCAAAAGUAUCUGUCCAUUUUUGUCAAGAAAGCAGAAGUUUUCCCAGCGUUCCUGUUGUAAGACCUCUCCUUCCUACAGAGGAGGCACAGAUGAAAUUUGAGUAACAAGAGAUUAUCAGACAUGGGUGCUAAGGUGGCUUGAGCACUGGGCCUCUUUGUUCUGCCCCUGUUCUGCCCCUAUAGAAGCCCUAAGACCCAUUCCCACCAGAGCAAGGAAGAGGACAAAGCAAAAGCAAGCUACCAAAUAGGAAAAUGAACAGAAACAGUAGUUGGCUAUGGGGUGGGGCAUCUAUCAGGAACAGAGCAGAGUUCAGGAACAUUGCUGGAGUCAAGGGGCAGGAGUAGAGUUCAGUGCAAAAAGCUAGAGUUCAGGUGGUAACUUGAAGAGACUCAUGGUCUGCUCCACAGAUUUCAAGAUGCUCAAUUCUAUUUU
Molecule: long non-coding RNA, 602 nt
Organism: Perognathus longimembris pacificus (Pacific pocket mouse)
Lineage: Eukaryota; Metazoa; Chordata; Mammalia; Rodentia; Heteromyidae
Exons: 3
Source: RefSeq, a predicted model, not a curated record